This 990-nucleotide ribosomal RNA is filed under the name uncultured marine bacterium. RNAcentral's name for it is "bacterial SSU rRNA". It matches the Rfam family "Bacterial small subunit ribosomal RNA", at positions 66 to 1074 of the family's 1533-position model. The record is from RNAcentral.
GUUUUAGAAAGAUACUUCGGUUGAUUUUUAAACGGACAGCGGCGAAAGGGAGAGUAACGAGUAGAUACGUACCCAAGGGUUCGGGAUAGCCAUGCGAAAGCGUGAGUAAUACCGAAUAAUGUCUCCGGACCAAAGAUUUAUCGCCCUUGGAGCGGUUUGCUUACUAUUAGCUUGUUGGUGGGGUAAAGGCCUACCAAGGCUUAGAUGGUUAGCGGGUGUGAGAGCAUGACCCGUCUCACUGGGACUGAGACACUGCCCAGACACCUACGGGUGGCUGCAGUCGAGAAUCUUCCGCAAUGGACGCAAGUCUGACGGAGCGACGCCGCGUGCUGGAUGAAGGCCCUCGGGUUGUAAACAGCUGUCGUAGGGGAGGAAAUUUUGACCGAUCCUAGGAGGAAGCACAGGCUAAGUUCGUGCCAGCAGCCGCGGUAAUACGAACUGUGCAAACGUUAUUCGGAAUCACUGGGCUUAAAGGGUGCGUAGGCGGGUUGGUAGGUCAGAUGUGAAAGCCCACGGCUCAACCGUGGAAUUGCGUUUGAAACCACUAGUCUUGAGGGGAUCAGAGGAGAGCGGAACUGAUGGUGGAGCGGUGAAAUGCGUUGAUAUUAUCAGGAACACCGGUGGCGAAAGCGGCUCUCUGGGAUCCUUCUGACGCUGAGGCACGAAAGCUAGGGGAGCGAACGGGAUUAGAUACCCCGGUAGUCCUAGCUGUAAACGAUCUGUACUAGUCCGUGGGGACUCCCACAUCUUCUCGGACGUAGCGAAAGUGUUAAGUACAGCGCCUGGGGGAGUAUGGUCGCAAGGCUGAAACUCAAAGGAAUUGACGGGGGCUCACACAAGCGGUGGAAGGAUGUGGCUUAAUUCGAGGCUACGCGAAGAACCUUACCUAGACUUAACAUGUUUGAGAAUCUCUGUGAAAGCAGAGAGUGCCUUUCGGGGAACUCUUACGUAGGUGCUGCAUGGCUGUCGUCAGCUCGUGUCGUGAAGAUG